ACCCGCACAAGCGGUGGAUGAUGUGGAUAAUUCGAUGCAACGCGAAAACCUUACCUACCCUUGACAUGUCCGGAAUCCCGAAGAGAUUUGGGAGUGCUCGCAAGAGAGCCGGAACACAGGUGCUGCAUGGCUGUCGUCAGCUCGUGUCGUGAGAUGUUGGGUUAAGUCCCGCAACGAGCGCAACCCUUGUCAUUAGUUGCCAUCAUUUGGUUGGGCACUCUAAUGAGACUGCCGGUGACAAACCGGAGGAAGGUGGGGAUGACGUCAAGUCCUCAUGGCCCUUAUGGGUAGGGCUUCACACGUCAUACAAUGGUCGGUACAGAGGGUUGCCAACCCGCGAGGGGGAGCUAAUCCCACAAAGCCGAUCGUAGUCCGGAUCGCAGUCUGCAACUCGACUGCGUGAAGUCGGAAUCGCUAGUAAUCGUGGAUCAGCAUGUCACGGUGAAUACGUUCCCGGGUCUU
This 462-nucleotide ribosomal RNA is filed under the name uncultured Rhodocyclaceae bacterium. RNAcentral's name for it is "bacterial SSU rRNA". It matches the Rfam family "Bacterial small subunit ribosomal RNA", at positions 919 to 1382 of the family's 1533-position model. The record is from RNAcentral. Lineage: Bacteria; Pseudomonadati; Pseudomonadota; Betaproteobacteria; Rhodocyclales; Rhodocyclaceae.